GCCCGCCUAGCUCAAUCGGAUAGAGCGUCAGACUUUUACAAGCUGUUGGGCGGUAUUUGAUAUCUGAAGGCUGCGAGUUCGACCCUCGCGGUGGGCU
RNAcentral lists this transfer RNA (97 nucleotides) under Lentinula raphanica. RNAcentral's name for it is "tRNA-Lys". It matches the Rfam family "tRNA". From Rfam's summary of the family: Transfer RNA (tRNA) molecules are approximately 80 nucleotides in length. Their secondary structure includes four short double-helical elements and three loops (D, anti-codon, and T loops). Further hydrogen bonds mediate the characteristic L-shaped molecular structure. tRNAs have two regions of fundamental functional importance: the anti-codon, which is responsible for specific mRNA codon recognition, and the 3' end, to which the tRNAs corresponding amino acid is attached (by aminoacyl-tRNA synthetases). tRNAs cope with the degeneracy of the genetic code in two manners: having more than one tRNA (with a specific anti-codon) for a particular amino acid; and 'wobble' base-pairing, i.e. permitting non-standard base-pairing at the 3rd anti-codon position. Lineage: Eukaryota; Fungi; Basidiomycota; Agaricomycetes; Agaricales; Omphalotaceae. The record is from RNAcentral.